RNAcentral lists this ribosomal RNA (200 nucleotides) under uncultured bacterium. Its description in RNAcentral is "partial 16S ribosomal RNA". It matches the Rfam family "Bacterial small subunit ribosomal RNA", at positions 8 to 207 of the family's 1533-position model. The record is from RNAcentral.
AGAGUUUGAUCAUGGCUCAGAACGAACGUUAGCGGCGCGCCUAACACAUGCAAGUCGAGCGAGAAAGGGCUUCGGCCCCGGUACAGCGGCGCACGGGUGAGUAACACGUAGGUAAUCUUCCCUCGAGCGGGGGAUAACCUUCCGAAAGGAGGGCUAAUACCGCAUAAGACCACGGCUUCGAAAGGAGCAGGGGUCAAAGC